UCAAUGGCCACCUUAAAUACAGCAUUAGCAUUUUGAUAUUUAUGGGGUUCACGAAAGUAGCAACAUGAGCUUUGUUAUCAUGGCUAAAACAUCAUGAAAAGCUGCUUUUUUCCAUCAAUUUAAAGGUUAUUUGGAUCAUCUUUACUGUUUGUUCAUAAUUUGGUUAACCGGGGAUAUACGCAAGAUCAACAGCAACUUUGGGUUUUGAUAAGGAAAUAUUUCCAAUCUGAUGAGGAGAUCGAAAGCUUUUAGCAAUGGGUUUUGAUAAGGUUGAAGUCGCCAUAGCUACUACUAAUGGCGAUCUCAAUGUAGCUGUUGAAUUGGUUGGUAUGGUAACAGUUUGGAGCUGGUCCUAGGUUGAAGCCAAACGGUCCGGGUUGGGCCGAUCCAUCCACACCUUUUGUCUUUCUUUAUAGGGCUUUACUGAUUAUGUUUCUCAUUACAAGAAUCAUUUUUUUAUAAAUGGUACACAUUUUGAAUAUACGUCGAGGAUUUUGAAAA
Molecule: long non-coding RNA, 501 nt
Organism: Helianthus annuus (common sunflower)
Lineage: Eukaryota; Viridiplantae; Streptophyta; Magnoliopsida; Asterales; Asteraceae
Exons: 3
Source: RefSeq, a predicted model, not a curated record